UUGCACGCUGGCGGAAUGCUUUACACAUGCAAGUCGAACGGCAGCACGGGGGCAGCCCUGGUGGCGAGUGGCGAACGGGUGAGUAAUACAUCGGAACGUGCCCGGUCGUGGGGGAUAACGUAGCGAAAGUUACGCUAAUACCGCAUACGAUCUGAGGAUGAAAGCGGGGGACCUUCGGGCCUCGCGCGAUCGGAGCGGCCGAUGUCAGAUUAGGUAGUUGGUGGGGUAAAGGCCUACCAAGCCGACGAUCUGUAGCUGGUCUGAGAGGACGACCAGCCACACUGGGACUGAGACACGGCCCAGACUCCUACGGGAGGCAGCAGUGGGGAAUUUUGGACAAUGGGCGCAAGCCUGAUCCAGCCAUUCCGCGUGCAGGACGAAGGCCUUCGGGUUGUAAACUGCUUUUGUACGGAACGAAAAGGCUCUGGCUAAUACCUGGGGCUCAUGACGGUACCGUAAGAAUAAGCACCGGCUAACUACGUG
RNAcentral lists this ribosomal RNA (483 nucleotides) under uncultured bacterium. RNAcentral describes it as "partial 16S ribosomal RNA". It matches the Rfam family "Bacterial small subunit ribosomal RNA", at positions 30 to 507 of the family's 1533-position model. The record is from RNAcentral.